RNAcentral lists this ribosomal RNA (237 nucleotides) under uncultured bacterium. RNAcentral's name for it is "partial 16S ribosomal RNA". It matches the Rfam family "Bacterial small subunit ribosomal RNA", at positions 99 to 334 of the family's 1533-position model. The record is from RNAcentral.
CGCACGGGUGAGUAAUACGUAUCCAACCUGCCGUCUACUCUUGGCCAGCCUUCUGAAAGGAAGAUUAAUCCAGGAUGGCAUCAUGAGUUCACAUGUCCGCAUGAUUAAAGGUAUUUUCCGGUAGACGAUGGGGAUGCGUUCCAUUAGAUAGUAGGCGGGGUAACGGCCCACCUAGUCAACGAUGGAUAGGGGUUCUGAGAGGAAGGUCCCCCACAUUGGAACUGAGACACGGUCCAA